ACUCCUACGGGAGGCAGCAGUGGGAAUAUUGCGCAAUGGGCGAAAGCCUGACGCAGCCAUGCCGCGUGUGUGAAGAAGGCCUUAGGGUUGUAAAGCACUUUCAAUUGGGAAGAAAGCUAAACGUUAAUAGCGUUUAGCCCUGACAUUACCUUUAGAAGAAGCACCGGCUAACUCCGUGCCAGCAGCCGCGGUAAUACGGAGGGUGCGAGCGUUAAUCGGAAUUACUGGGCGUAAAGCGCGCGUAGGCGGUUUGUUAAGUCAGCUGUGAAAGCCCGGCGUCAACCUGGGAACUGCAUUUGGAACUGGCAGGCUAGAGUUUUGUAGAGGGUGGUAGAAUUUCAGGUGUAGCGGUGAAAUGCGUAGAGAUCUGAAGGAAUACCGGUGGCGAAGGCGACCACCUGGCCAAUAACUGACACUGAGACGCGAAGGCGUGGGUAGCAAACGGGAUUAGAUACCCUGGUAGGCUCUGCU
RNAcentral lists this ribosomal RNA (471 nucleotides) under uncultured bacterium. RNAcentral describes it as "bacterial SSU rRNA". It matches the Rfam family "Bacterial small subunit ribosomal RNA", at positions 335 to 801 of the family's 1533-position model. The record is from RNAcentral.